Molecule: long non-coding RNA, 397 nt
Filed under: Triticum aestivum (bread wheat)
Lineage: Eukaryota; Viridiplantae; Streptophyta; Magnoliopsida; Poales; Poaceae
Description: long non-coding RNA (TAES_LNC009955)
Source: RNAcentral
UACAAUUUUCACGACAAAGAGACAUCAUGAGAGCUAGGCAAGUCACUGGACAAGAUAUACCAAGGAAUUUGUAUUUCUGGGCACAUAAUCAAGAAUAAAAUGCACAAUUACAUAUGAAUGGGGAAUUAUGUACACGAGGCAAUUAUUCCCACGCGUAUACAAUUUAGAUGAGUAAGAAACAUGCUUCUGGGCACAAUUAAUUUAGAUGAGUAAGAAACAUGCUUCUGGGCACAAUUCCUAUGGCUAUCUGACCCCUACACAAAAAUCUUCAAAAUGCUGUCUUCUGUUUAUCUAUUCUCCACAUAAAACAACCUGACGCCACCCUUCGUUAGCCUUUUUAUAUACUCUCCAUGCAAAAUGAAAACACAAAGGAAGGAGGAAACUCCACAGGAGACAU